GCGACCCCAGGUCAGACG
This 18-nucleotide ribosomal RNA is filed under the name Deschampsia cespitosa (tufted hair grass). Its description in RNAcentral is "partial 26S ribosomal RNA". The record is from RNAcentral. Lineage: Eukaryota; Viridiplantae; Streptophyta; Magnoliopsida; Poales; Poaceae.